AGAGUUUGAUCAUGGCUCAGGAUGAACGCUAGCGACAGGCUUAACACAUGCAAGUCGAGGGGCAGCGGGGGUAGCAAUACCCGCCGGCGACCGGCGCACGGGUGAGUAACGCGUAUCCAACCUGCCCACCACUUGGGGAUAACCUUGCGAAAGUAAGACUAAUACCCAAUGAUAUCUCUAGAAGACAUCUGAAAGAGAUUAAAGAUUUAUCGGUGAUGGAUGGGGAUGCGUCUGAUUAGCUUGUUGGCGGGGUAACGGCCCACCAAGGCAACGAUCAGUAGGGGUUCCGAGAGGAAGGUCCCCCACAUUGGAACUGAGACACGGUCCAAACUCCUACGGGAGGCAGCA
RNAcentral lists this ribosomal RNA (348 nucleotides) under uncultured bacterium. RNAcentral describes it as "bacterial SSU rRNA". It matches the Rfam family "Bacterial small subunit ribosomal RNA", at positions 8 to 353 of the family's 1533-position model. The record is from RNAcentral.